AGCGAACGCUGGCGGCAGGCCUAACACAUGCAAGUCGAACGGACCCUUCGGGGUUAGUGGCGGACGGGUGAGUAACACGUGGGAACGUGCCUUUAGGUUCGGAAUAGCUCCUGGAAACGGGUGGUAAUGCCGAAUGUGCCCUUCGGGGGAAAGAUUUAUCGCCUUUAGAGUGGCCCGCGUCUGAUUAGCUAGUUGGUGGGGUAAUGGCCCACCAAGGCUACGAUCAGUAGCUGGUCUGAGAGGAUGACCAGCCACAUUGGGACUGAGACACGGCCCAAACUCCUACGGGAGGCAGCAGUGGGGAAUCUUGCGCAAUGGGCGAAAGCCUGACGCAGCCAUGCCGCGUGUAUGAUGAAGGUCUUAGGAUUGUAAAAUACUUUCACCGGUGAAGAUAAUGACUGUAGCCGGAGAAGAAGCCCCGGCUAACUUCGUG
RNAcentral lists this ribosomal RNA (433 nucleotides) under uncultured bacterium. Its description in RNAcentral is "bacterial SSU rRNA". It matches the Rfam family "Bacterial small subunit ribosomal RNA", at positions 29 to 507 of the family's 1533-position model. The record is from RNAcentral.